UUAGUCUGGUGGAGGCCUUGGUAGAUGUGGUCCAUUAGUCCUUUGGACUAAUCUUUCCCUUGUGUCUUUAGUUAUCUUCAUUCUUCCUUGUUCCCAAAGGGGUGAGACCAGUGGAGUAUCCUAGAUGGCCGCUCAUAGGCUUUUAAGACCGUGGAUGCUAUUCACCAAAGUAGAGUGUAGAACAUUUUCUUUAUAAACUCUGUUAUGCCAGUUGAGCUAGAUGUUCCCUGAGACCAUGGUCCCCACAGCCCUCAGUCCAGCAAUUUGGUCCCUCAGGGAGUUUGGGUGUGUCUAUGGAGCUACCAUGGCCCUGUUUUGUACAGGCUGUGCUGGCUUCCGUAAUAUUGUGUACUGUCUUACCCUUCACCAAAGUUACUACUUAUCUAUUGUCUAUUAAGUGUUUUUCCAUCCCCACCCCUCCCCACCCUGGUAACCAUCAAAGAUUGUUUGUUUUUGUUUGUAAACCUUUUCAUGAGUUUUUACAGUAGUGGUCUCAUACAAUAUUUCUCCUUUUGUGAUUGACUUAUUUCACUCAGCAUAAUGUUCUCCAGAUGCAUCUAUGUUAUGUGAUGCUUUGCAGAUUCAUCGUUGUUCUUUAUUGUUGUGUAAUAUCCCAUUGUGUGUAUGUACCAGUUUGUUUAUCCAUUCAUCUGCUGAUGGGCAUCUAGGUUGUUUCCAUCUUUUUGCUAUUGUGAACAAUGCUGCAAUGAACAUGGGUGUGCAUAUGUCUAUUUGUGUGAUGACUCUUACUUCUCUAGGAUAUAUUCCUAGAAGUGGGAUUGCUGGAUCAUAUGGUAUUUCUAUUUCUAGCUUUCUAAGGAAGCACCAUAUCAUUUUCCGAAAUGGCUGUAUCAUUUUGCAUUCCCAUCAGCAGUGCAUAAGAGUUCUGAUCCCCCUGCAGCCUCUCCAACCUUUGUUAUUUUCUGUUUUAUUGAUUUGUUCCAGUAAUGCCAGGGCGAGAUGGUUAUCUCAUUGUGGUUUUGAUUUGCAUUUCUCUGAUGGCGAGAAAUCAUGAGCAUUUCCUCAUGUGUCUGUUGGCCACUUGAAUGUCUUCUUCGGUGAAGUGUCUGUUCAUAUCCUUUGCCCAUUUUUUAAUUGGAUUAUUUGUCUUGUUGUUGUAGAGGUGUUGGAUUUUCUUGUAGAUUUUAGAGAUUAGACCUUUGUCUGAUUUAUAAGAGCCAAAAUUUUUUUCCCAGUCUGUAGGUUCUCUUUUUACUCUUUCGGUGAAGUCUUUUGAUGAGCAGAAGUGUUUGAUUUUUAGAAGAUCCUAGUUAUCUAGCUUAUCCUCGAGUAUUGCGCUCUUUUAACGACUAUAUGGGGUCAAAUUGACAACAGCAACUUGGAAGAUAAGACAGGAACCUUAGGGGCCAGUGAGCUUAUGUUAAUGAGGGAGGAACAACUCAGAAAAGGGGGGUGAGAAUGGUUGCACGACUUGAAGAACGUAAUCGGUGUCACUGAAACAUACAUGUAUAAACUGUUGAACUGGUGUAUGUUUUGCUGUAUAUAUUCUCAAAAACAGCAGCAAAAUAAAUAAAAUUAUACAGUGGGUAUAUAUAUAUAUAUGUAUCUGUAUGGAAACCGUGGUGGACUAGUGGUUAAGGACUACAGCUGCUAACCAAGAGGUCAGCAGUUCAAAUCCUCCAGGCACUCCUUGGAAACUCUAUGGGGCAGUUCUACUCUAUCCUGUAGGGUCACUAUGAGUCGGAGUCAACUCAACAGCAACAGGUUUAUAUAGAUAUAUAUACAUGUAUAUAUAAUAUUUAUAUAUGUAUAUAAAAUAAAUUGCCCUUUAACUUGUGAGGUCUGACCUAGCUCCAGGCAGUUAGGGUCAGAGGAGAACUGCAUUUGCAGUUGUUCUCAGAGAGGACAUUUAGAACUGAUGGCAGAAGACACACAGACAGAUGCCAUACAGACUCAUGGACUGAAUUGUGUCCACCCAAAAUAUGUGUCAACUUGGCUAGGCCAUGAUUCCCAGUAUUGUGUGGUUGUCCUACAUUUUGUGAUCUGAUGAGAUUUUGCUAAGUGUUGUAAAUCCUACCUCUAUGAUGUUAAUGAGGUGGGAUUAGUGGCAGUUUUUUAUGUUAAUGAGGCAGGACUCAAUCUAUAAGAUUAGAUUGUGUCUUAAGUUAAUCUCUUUUGAGACAUAAAACAGAGAAGGGAGCAGAGAGGAGAGGGAUCUCAUUACCACGAAACAAGAAGAGCCAGGAGUGGACCCGGGGUUCCUGUGCUGAGAAGUUCCUAGACCAGGAUAAGAUUGAUGACAAGGACCUUCCCCUAGAGCUGACAGAGAGAUAAAGCCUUCCCCUGGAGUUGGCACCCUGAAUUCGAACUUCUAGCCUCCCGAACUGUGAGAGAAUAAAUUUCUGUUUCUUAAAGCCAUCCGCUUAUGGUACUUCUGUUAUAGCACCACUAGAUAACUAAGACCCAGGCCCUUCACUAUAUCCUGGUGAUCUCCUUUGAAAUCAUCAACUCGGACAUACCCUCUUUCAAGAGUCACUGUUGUUGUGUGCCAUAAAGUUGAUUGCAACUCAUAAUGACCAUAUAUGACAGAGUAGGUUUCCAAGGCUGUAAACUUUAUGGGAGCAGAUAGUCAGGUCUUUUCUCCUGUGGAGCUGCUGGUGGGUUUGAACCAGCUACCUUUUGCUUAGUGGUUACCUACUGUGCCACCAGGGCCCCUUCAAGAAUCACUGUAACAACCGAAUCCCACACUCCAGCAGAGCAGCACCGACCCCUCACUUGUUUCCAGUGCUACAUCUCUACUAAUGUUCUGAUCAUGUCAGACUGUAAACCAUACUAAGCUUAAUGAAUGACAAAAAUCCCUAAUUUUUAGUUUUUUUUUUUAAACAUGUUCUGUUACCUGCCACAGAAACUCUGGUGGUUAAGAGUGGUUAAGAGUUCGACUGCUACCCAAAAAGUCUGCUGUUUGAAUCUACCAGGCACUUCUUGGAAACCCUAUAGGGCAGUUCUACUGUGUCCCAUAGGGUUGCUAUGAGUAGGAAUUGACUUGAUGGCAAUGGGUUUGUUUUUUUUUUUUGGUUUGGUUUAGUUACCUGCCGCACUACCUAUACUUGAGCAGAUCAAGGAUCCAAGACUUGACAGUUAUCUCUGUUAAAUUUUAUCUCAUUCAGUCCUUUUUGAGCUUGAUUCUGACAGGCAGUGUAUUUAUUCACUCUCCUUUCCAGCUCCAAGCCAUCUGAAAUUUGAUAAGUGAGCCAUUUCUAAGGUCAUCUAAGUCUGUAUCUUGGCCCCACUCCAGCUACUCCAUUUUCUUUUUCAGUCCAGCUGUCUUCAACUCCUGACAUCUGCUCUAGCGAGGUCAACUGCCUGCUCCACUGAACAAUCUAUUAGCUAGGGACUUUGCUAAACACUGACAUAAAUAAUACCAUUCAAAACUAAACUCUAGGGUGUGUGAACUAUAAUUAUCCAUUUAAUAAAUGGGGAAACUAGGGCUCAAAGAGGUUAUGAGACUUGCCAGACAUCAUGGCUAAUUGACAAGCUGAUUCUGUCUGAAUUCAAUGCUCCUUUGCCAUUUGCUGCUUAAAUCCCCUCUAUAACAUGCUCAUCAGCCUCUGUUUAAGGACUUCCAAGGAUGGAGAACUUACCACCUUCAAGAUGAAUCAUUCUGUCAUUGGUGAUUAGUCCUAAUUUUACUUUACGACCCCCCGCCCCAUGAAUCACGAUUUAAUUGCUAUCUCAUUAUUUACAGAUUUAUAUUAGACAUUUUUCAUCAGUAAUCAUGAUUGCCUAUUUACUGAACCCCCUGGCUGGGAAGCACUACUUGGAACAAGCUAAAAUAUCAACCUUCACAGCUUAUCCCACCUUCCUUUCAGAGAACAGCAAAGAAGAGCCGAACCAUGUUCUCAGGUCUCGCUAUUUCCCAACUUGAAGCUGCUCUUCCAGUUAGGGGGCUGGCUACCUCCAAGGAGUUUGGGAGAAUCACUCUUAGCCAUCUAAAAAACCCAGGCCAAUGUAAGGUGUUAUCACUGGGGGAGAGCAGGUAAAGGGUACGUGAGAUCUCUUUGUACCAUUUGUGCUGCUUCCUUUGAAUCUAUGAUUUCAAAAUAAAAAGAUAAAAUGGAAAAUGCAUUCUAGAUUAAGAACCCUAGGCUCUAGCAUUCAAAUUUUUACAAAGUUAUUUCAACUUUGCACUCUGCACGUGGGUCCCCUUGCCCUCUCCCUGCUAUGCCAUUUAAAAUCUUCCCCUUCUGGGGCCUGCGGAAUGCUGAGUCAUUCAGCAACAUUCUCUGACCACCACUCAGUAGAGAGGUCCCUACCCUCAGGGAGCUGGCCUUACAGGCAGGGCAGAUAAUAAAACAAACCAAGCCCUUUGCAGUGGGGCCAAUUCCGGCUCCUGGUGACCCAGUGUGUGCAGAACAGAACAGGGUUUUCAAGGCUAUGACCUUUUGGAAGCAGAUCGCUAGGCCUGUCUUCUGAGGCACCUCUGGGUGGGUUUGAACCAUCAAUCUUUCAGCUAGUGCCUAACCAUUUAUGCCACCCAGAGACAGAAAAGAAACAAAUACAAUUCUAUUAGUGCUAGGAAGGAAAUAAACUGGGAUCCAGGGUACAGAAGAAAAAAAAAAAAAGUCCCCUAAUUUAGGCAGGAUAACCAGGAAAGUUCUCGCUGAGACCAGAAACCUGAGGCAGCAGUUACAUGAAGGGCUGGGGGAAGGGCACUAGAAAGAACAGCAGAGGCAAAGGCCCUGAGCCCCUCAUCAUACAACACUGCUGACUCUCCGAGAAACUAAAACCAGUGGACACUGACUCAUGGCGACCCCAGUGUGUCAGAGUAGAACUGUGCCCCGUAGGGUUUUCAAUGGUGGAUUUUCUUCCAAGGCACCUCUGGGUGGACUCGAAACUCCAACCUUUCAGUUAGCAGCCCCGUGUGUUAACCAUCUGUGCCACCCAGAGACUCCUAUGAGAAACCAGAGAUUGGAUAAACUAAACACCCACAAGUUUCACUGAAUUUAAAGCCUUAUCUUCUUCCCCUCUACCUGAAGUCUUUCAGGAACAAAGGGUUAGGACAGUUUGUGCUCUCCGCUCUCACGGCUUCCACCCCAUUCUCUGGUGAACCCUGAACUGGCCCUACAGGUGUUCAGAGGAGGCAGCAGCACACCUGGUAGGAUAAGAGGUGAACUGCAACCAACCUGCUUGGGGCAGGUCACUGGUCAGAGGCAGGUCCCUCUGGUUUGAGGCUCACGUGAGAGCAGCCAUGGGAACUCCAGCAAGGACUCAGAGGCUUCUCAGCUGUCCCCAGGGCUCUGAGAACAGGAGGCUGAGAACGGCUACAGCUCUUCCUAGAGAGAGCUGCCUGAGAGGGGAGGCUAAAGGGCAAACAGCCACAGGGCAGUGCGAGGAACCCACAGCUCAGGCAGAGGUCUAGAGGGAAAUGGCGCUGAGCAAGACGGGCAGGUGCGGCAGGUAGGGCACUCCCACCAAUGAGCUAGCCAGCUAUUAAAUACCUCAAACUACCAUGUGUCAGAGCAGAACUGUGCUCCCUAAGGUUUUCAAUAGCUGAGUUUUCAGACUGUCUUCCUAGUCACCUCUGGGUAGGACUCAAACCUCCAACCUUUCAGCUGGCGGCCAAGCGAGUUAACUGUUUGCACCACCCCGGGACUCCAUUAAAUACCUCAAGUGCCAACCAAACAUGAAUGCAGCAAAGUAAAUUGAAAUUCUCUCUAAGCCUUGUAUGGCUUCUAAGUAUCUCAGAUACCACAACCUUUUCCCCUCUCUGUGCUCGGGUUAGAAAUAAAGUGGACACUCACCUGCAUAAACGUGUGGCAUUCCGUUACAAAAUUCCCUUUUGUAAUCUGCUUAAACUUAUCACAAAUGUCUGCAAAACUGGUGGCUUCCAAAAUAAAAGCCUGGUGUUGUUUAAUUAAGGUUAAGGCUACCCGGAAGAUAACUUUUGAGCCUUCGUUGAAUAAACAAUCCCAAAUUCGAAGCACGGUCUGUAGAAAAAGAGAUGUUAAAUAGAAAAAUCAUGCCGUCACUUAGAGUGCCAUCUGAGACUAGUCCUGCAGUUUACGUCCCGCAAGGCUCCAGACGCACCUGCUCUUACCUCUACAGGCAGGACGUCGAUGAACAAGCAGAUAAACCAGCGGGACACCACCAAGGUCCACAAGACGCCAUGCCCCUCCAUCAGCUCGGCAACCGCUGGGGUCUUCAUUCUCACCAGCUCACCAAGCACUUCCUGGUCCGUUUUCAGACCCAGCAUUGCUGGGCUGUAGUAGUCUUUUACAGAGAAAAGAAAGACAAGAAAUGUAAAGUACACACUCAAAAAGAAAACCAAAACUUUCCAGCUGACAGCAUCAUCCCUUGUUUCCCUUUAAGCCGGCUCAAACAAGGCUAACCAUGUUAUUUCUUUUCAAAAUUAAAAGGGGAAGAAUAGAGGCAAGAUCCCACGCCCUGAAGCAGCAGUAAUUCUCUGGAGUGAGAAGUUAGGCCUCCCGAGAUGUCCACCAGGGGGCACACUGGCACUUUGUGUCUGGACGCCUGGCCUGGCUAAAGGGCCCUGCUGGGCACCAGUUAAAAUCUGCAGGUGGCAGCUGCUUUUGCAUUUCAGCUGUAGGGUUAGUCCCGGCAGUAAUGAACAAAGCAACCCCAGUCUCAGUUGCUUACUUUAGCGACUGUAAAAGUGACCUCCCUGGAGCAACGGCGGUUACAUCAGUUACAGGGAGAGCUGAGGAGGGGAGGCACCACAGGGUUUAAGAGUCCUGAGGCUGGACAAAGCAGGACCGGGUGUGGUAACCUUCAGGGAACAGCUCUGUCUGUCCACCUGCAGCGGUGUUCACUUGAGCAAGAAAUGCAAGCUGGGUUUCUACGGGCAAGAAGCUACUAGAGGUCAGGACAGGAGAGCCCAGUUACCUGCUGCCCACCUGAUGCCAGAUAACUGACCCUUUCAAAGUGGAGGUGGUGGUAUCCCCACAUUAUAAAGCAUGAGGGUAUAACCUCAAAGAGAUGAAGAAGCUUGCCGGGAAGAGGUGGUGGCCUUGGGCAGGUCUACUUGGCCCCGCUUGGGCACUUCACCCCACACCGCAGUCCUGCCUCCUGCAGAGCAAACACACAGGCCAGGGGGAAAACCAGAGAGACCCAACACGUGGACAUAAAAUAUGGAGCCCUUCAAUCAUUAGUGCUGUUAAAAACCAAUUUUUUAAAAACUUGGCCUAAACGCAGAUUUCUAAUCACGUGGUUGGUGUUUAAAAUGUCUGCAUGGAAAAAGGAUGGAUUUUGGGGGCUGCCGAAGCAUCUCUCCAACAGCUGGGAGGAUUCUGCAUCAGCAGGUGUGCUGACCCCUCCUGAGUUUCACGGGGUCAUGUGUUCUGAUUCUCUCACAAAUGCAGGAUUCCCAGUAAGCUAGUCACCCAGUCUUCCCUUCUUAGCACUCUGUCCCACAGGACGGCUCCUUCCCUUAGCAUCAAUUAGGCACCUUGGCCUUUUCCCCGCUUCCAUCCUCCUAGUCAGACUUUCUUCGGGGUUUUCCCUUCCUUUUUUACUUCUAUUUUUCUGAUUUUUUGGUUGUGAAGAUGCAAUAAAUGCGAGCAUUAUGGAUGAAUGUGAAGUAAGAACUGAAGGUCAUUCACCCCAUGCCAGCGUCCAGAGAUAACUGAUUACUGCCAGACAGUUCGGUACAUCUUCUAUACUUUUUAUUUUUAUAUACACACACACACACAUUUAUUUACUUAUUUUACCAACAGGGUCAAAUUAUACAUUGUUCUGAAAGUUUUUUUUUUUUUUUCUUUUCACUUAACAAAUUUCCCUGGACUAUUCUUCAUAGCACCUCACGCAGAUUUACUGCACUCUUUUUAAAGGGGGCAAGGCACUCUUCUGUAUGGAUGGGCCACAGUUUACUUAACUGGUUCCUCACUGAUGCACAUUUAUGCUAUUGCCAAUUUUUUGUUAUAAGUGAUGCCACAAUAAAGAAAUCUCUGUGCACAAGUGUGUAGGGUAAAUUUCUGCAAGUGGAGUUGCUAGGUUAAAGGGCUUUCACUUCUGCAGCCUGAGGCAAUCCUGCAGGUUUUCUCCAACUUUGCGCAACAUUCACAAAGUGAUUGAUGGGCAAGGAUACUUCAUUAUCUUUCCCAGAAAUUUUAGAAGAAUGUGUCAAACUCCCCCCAAAAUUCAUUGCCAUCAAGUCAUUCCAACUCAUAGCAACCCUACAGGGCAAAGUAGAACUGCCCCAUAGGGCUUCCAAGGAGCAGUUGGUGGAUUUGAACUGCCAACCUUCUGGUUAGCAGCCAUAGCUCUUAACCACUGUGCCGCCAGGGCUCCCAAACUUCCCCAGCACUACAAAAUACAGAAAGGCAAAAGGCAAUGUUAUAUGUCUAAAUUUAUCCCCAAUGAGGACUGAUGGCUUAAACUGGAAAAAAUAUUUUUACUAUUGUUAGUGCUGCCUGGGGAGUCCAUGACGAAACCACGCCUUUAAGACAGAUAACAUCCUCUGGGCUUCUCCAGCUGCCCCAUUCUCAAAGGGCCUGGAUGCCAGCAGCCAGAGGUCCUCUCACAGCUCUGUUAGCACACACUCUGCUCCAAGUCCACCCACCUCCAACAGAUUUCCUUUUCUAUCUUUCUUUUGAAUGGACAUACAUGUUUUACCAAGGAACUUUUGGGUUUCCUACACAACCUUUUAGCUUGUUAAUGUGAUGUACUAAUAAAUUUUACUAUCUUAAUUUAUGCUAUAAAAAUUUCAUUAAGUGAGGAGCCCUGGUGACGUAGCAGUUAAGCACUUAACUGCUAAAUCAAAGGUCGGUGGUUGGAACCCCCGAGUGGUUCCUUGGGAAAAGAUCUGGUGAUUUGCUCCCAUAAAGAUUACAGCCUAGAAAACCUUAUGGGGCAGUUCUACUCUGUCACAGAGGGUUGCUAUGAGUCGGCAUCAACUCGAUGGCACCCAACAACGAUAACAACAACACAGUCUUAGCUCUCUACACUUUCCCAUGAACCUCCCCACCAAUCUUGUUUGAAAACCAGGUGAAAAAUAAAAAUUAAAAUGGAGGUUUACAACAAAAAUUCAGUAAGUAACCUAUUUAAUAAAAUAGGAAAAUUAAAGCCAUUGUGCCAAACCUGGUCUCUUACUCUGUUGUCCACAUGUGUUCUUGGUUGUUCAUCAUGGGGGGGGAAUGUGGUUCAACGGAAUCAUAAAUAAUGACACCCAGUCACAUUACUAACUUUCAAAGGGUAAACAUACAACAAGGGAUGCUUAAUACUAACGUGUUCUGAAGAUAACCGAACAGACAUCAAUGCAGUUAUAAAACAUCAGGGAUUAAAAAGUCUUCAUGUUCUUAUUUUGCAUCUAUCUCUUGAAAUCUUUGAAUGCUUUGCUCUUUUUUUCCUUUGUGACCCAGCAACAUUCUAUUCCAGUUGGCAAGAAAAGAGCAAAGAUUCUUUAAACUGUACUUAUUCCUUUUUAUCUAUUAGAGUGUCAUUAGUGCUAACCUGAAUUCUACAAGUGACAUCUCUAACACAAACCAGACUUGAGCCCCAGGGAGCAGUCAGGUGAUUUGCAGAGAACAAGGGAUAAGGACUAAGCACAGCAUGACCUUGUUCUCAAUUACAGAGAGGCUUUACAACGGCUUCCAAAAAUAAAGGUGUUAAACUCAUGCCCUAAACUGCUACAUACCUGAGCAGGGUCACUAGGUAGAAACUGAACCCACCACACCUUGAAUGCAUUUUCCUUGGGUAUUGAAGGCAAAGCAAACUACUACUUAUUCUAGGCCUGGGCUGGCUGCGGCAUUUUCCUAACUAUUCUUUCUAAAGGAGAAGAGCCUUACAUUAGAGGUUUAAAUUGAGUUGUGCACAAGAUCAGAGAAACGCCUUAACACCCACAACUGGGGCCAACACCGAUGUUCCCUGGAAAUGGCACCCAUGUUGCCUCUGCCUUCCGGCUGCCCCCCCAUGUCAUUUUUCUUGGGAACAUUCAUGCUUUUGCAAACAAUCUAAUAAACUGCUUACAGAGGUUCAGAUACAGCACUGUCUGUGCCCCUAAAACAAGGUAGAGAACCUAGCCCUAGUAUCCCCCUCACAACUGUCCGGGGUCAGAAUACGCUGGUUUGCAUUCACAGACAGAAGAAACGCUGGAAGAAGCCACACCAAAAUGGUAACCAUAGCAGCCUAGGAGUGGCUUUGAUUUUCUCCUUUAUUCUUGAUUUUAUGUUUUCCUAAAUUUCCAGAAUGAACGUGUAUGAGUUACGUUAUCACAUAAGCACAUGUUCUUUAAGGGCAAAUAAAACCAAACCAGUGGCCGUUGAGUUGAUUUUGACUCGUGACGGCCCUAUGAGUCUCAGGGUAGAACUGUGCUCCAUAGGGUAUUCAACAGCUGAUUUUUUUUGAGAGAGUAAAUAAAAAUUAAAAAUAAGGAAGAGGCUGCCUCCCCUCUCCUUUCUUUCAGCAUUCACUUUAAAAGAAAAUGUGUAAGGUGUCUUUGAAAAGACACCAACUUACUGGGCUGAAGGCUGGGGGCCACUGUGAAAAUCAACCUGGCGCUUCCUUAAAAAGCUAGACGUAGAAGUUCCAUACGAUCCUCCCCUGGAAAUACCGAUUCAGCACUCUGGGACAGACCUGGUCUGGCUUCUAGGAGAAAUGUCCAACCCAAGGAAGUAACGCUACUGGCACUGGACCCAAGUCGGAAAAAACAAGUUCUAUACAGUCCAGCCAUGAGACACGGUGAUCUGUGAACUUCAAUUCCUUCAGCUAUGAAAGGGGGAGAAAAUCACUUUUUCUGGGAGCUUACAGGAUUAUUGCAGGCUUCCACAAAGUAACAACCCAAACCAGCUGCUGCUGAGUUGAUUCCAACUUGUGG
This is a long non-coding RNA of Loxodonta africana (African savanna elephant), 10792 nucleotides long. RefSeq lists it as uncharacterized. Lineage: Eukaryota; Metazoa; Chordata; Mammalia; Proboscidea; Elephantidae. The record is from RefSeq and is a predicted model, not a curated record. The transcript is spliced from 2 exons.